Molecule: long non-coding RNA, 4189 nt
Organism: Homo sapiens (human)
Lineage: Eukaryota; Metazoa; Chordata; Mammalia; Primates; Hominidae
Gene: MALAT1
Product: metastasis associated lung adenocarcinoma transcript 1
Source: Ensembl
CAGCCAGCGCAGGGGCUUCUGCUGAGGGGGCAGGCGGAGCUUGAGGAAACCGCAGAUAAGUUUUUUUCUCUUUGAAAGAUAGAGAUUAAUACAACUACUUAAAAAAUAUAGUCAAUAGGUUACUAAGAUAUUGCUUAGCGUUAAGUUUUUAACGUAAUUUUAAUAGCUUAAGAUUUUAAGAGAAAAUAUGAAGACUUAGAAGAGUAGCAUGAGGAAGGAAAAGAUAAAAGGUUUCUAAAACAUGACGGAGGUUGAGAUGAAGCUUCUUCAUGGAGUAAAAAAUGUAUUUAAAAGAAAAUUGAGAGAAAGGACUACAGAGCCCCGAAUUAAUACCAAUAGAAGGGCAAUGCUUUUAGAUUAAAAUGAAGGUGACUUAAACAGCUUAAAGUUUAGUUUAAAAGUUGUAGGUGAUUAAAAUAAUUUGAAGGCGAUCUUUUAAAAAGAGAUUAAACCGAAGGUGAUUAAAAGACCUUGAAAUCCAUGACGCAGGGAGAAUUGCGUCAUUUAAAGCCUAGUUAACGCAUUUACUAAACGCAGACGAAAAUGGAAAGAUUAAUUGGGAGUGGUAGGAUGAAACAAUUUGGAGAAGAUAGAAGUUUGAAGUGGAAAACUGGAAGACAGAAGUACGGGAAGGCGAAGAAAAGAAUAGAGAAGAUAGGGAAAUUAGAAGAUAAAAACAUACUUUUAGAAGAAAAAAGAUAAAUUUAAACCUGAAAAGUAGGAAGCAGAAGAAAAAAGACAAGCUAGGAAACAAAAAGCUAAGGGCAAAAUGUACAAACUUAGAAGAAAAUUGGAAGAUAGAAACAAGAUAGAAAAUGAAAAUAUUGUCAAGAGUUUCAGAUAGAAAAUGAAAAACAAGCUAAGACAAGUAUUGGAGAAGUAUAGAAGAUAGAAAAAUAUAAAGCCAAAAAUUGGAUAAAAUAGCACUGAAAAAAUGAGGAAAUUAUUGGUAACCAAUUUAUUUUAAAAGCCCAUCAAUUUAAUUUCUGGUGGUGCAGAAGUUAGAAGGUAAAGCUUGAGAAGAUGAGGGUGUUUACGUAGACCAGAACCAAUUUAGAAGAAUACUUGAAGCUAGAAGGGGAAGUUGGUUAAAAAUCACAUCAAAAAGCUACUAAAAGGACUGGUGUAAUUUAAAAAAAACUAAGGCAGAAGGCUUUUGGAAGAGUUAGAAGAAUUUGGAAGGCCUUAAAUAUAGUAGCUUAGUUUGAAAAAUGUGAAGGACUUUCGUAACGGAAGUAAUUCAAGAUCAAGAGUAAUUACCAACUUAAUGUUUUUGCAUUGGACUUUGAGUUAAGAUUAUUUUUUAAAUCCUGAGGACUAGCAUUAAUUGACAGCUGACCCAGGUGCUACACAGAAGUGGAUUCAGUGAAUCUAGGAAGACAGCAGCAGACAGGAUUCCAGGAACCAGUGUUUGAUGAAGCUAGGACUGAGGAGCAAGCGAGCAAGCAGCAGUUCGUGGUGAAGAUAGGAAAAGAGUCCAGGAGCCAGUGCGAUUUGGUGAAGGAAGCUAGGAAGAAGGAAGGAGCGCUAACGAUUUGGUGGUGAAGCUAGGAAAAAGGAUUCCAGGAAGGAGCGAGUGCAAUUUGGUGAUGAAGGUAGCAGGCGGCUUGGCUUGGCAACCACACGGAGGAGGCGAGCAGGCGUUGUGCGUAGAGGAUCCUAGACCAGCAUGCCAGUGUGCCAAGGCCACAGGGAAAGCGAGUGGUUGGUAAAAAUCCGUGAGGUCGGCAAUAUGUUGUUUUUCUGGAACUUACUUAUGGUUUCUCUUUUUCAGGCUUAUACUCAUGAAUCUUGUCUGAAGCUUUUGAGGGCAGACUGCCAAGUCCUGGAGAAAUAGUAGAUGGCAAGUUUGUGGGUUUUUUUUUUUUACACGAAUUUGAGGAAAACCAAAUGAAUUUGAUAGCCAAAUUGAGACAAUUUCAGCAAAUCUGUAAGCAGUUUGUAUGUUUAGUUGGGGUAAUGAAGUAUUUCAGUUUUGUGAAUAGAUGACCUGUUUUUACUUCCUCACCCUGAAUUCGUUUUGUAAAUGUAGAGUUUGGAUGUGUAACUGAGGCGGGGGGGAGUUUUCAGUAUUUUUUUUUGUGGGGGUGGGGGCAAAAUAUGUUUUCAGUUCUUUUUCCCUUAGGUCUGUCUAGAAUCCUAAAGGCAAAUGACUCAAGGUGUAACAGAAAACAAGAAAAUCCAAUAUCAGGAUAAUCAGACCACCACAGGUUUACAGUUUAUAGAAACUAGAGCAGUUCUCACGUUGAGGUCUGUGGAAGAGAUGUCCAUUGGAGAAAUGGCUGGUAGUUACUCUUUUUUCCCCCCACCCCCUUAAUCAGACUUUAAAAGUGCUUAACCCCUUAAACUUGUUAUUUUUUACUUGAAGCAUUUUGGGAUGGUCUUAACAGGGAAGAGAGAGGGUGGGGGAGAAAAUGUUUUUUUCUAAGAUUUUCCACAGAUGCUAUAGUACUAUUGACAAACUGGGUUAGAGAAGGAGUGUACCGCUGUGCUGUUGGCACGAACACCUUCAGGGACUGGAGCUGCUUUUAUCCUUGGAAGAGUAUUCCCAGUUGAAGCUGAAAAGUACAGCACAGUGCAGCUUUGGUUCAUAUUCAGUCAUCUCAGGAGAACUUCAGAAGAGCUUGAGUAGGCCAAAUGUUGAAGUUAAGUUUUCCAAUAAUGUGACUUCUUAAAAGUUUUAUUAAAGGGGAGGGGCAAAUAUUGGCAAUUAGUUGGCAGUGGCCUGUUACGGUUGGGAUUGGUGGGGUGGGUUUAGGUAAUUGUUUAGUUUAUGAUUGCAGAUAAACUCAUGCCAGAGAACUUAAAGUCUUAGAAUGGAAAAAGUAAAGAAAUAUCAACUUCCAAGUUGGCAAGUAACUCCCAAUGAUUUAGUUUUUUUCCCCCCAGUUUGAAUUGGGAAGCUGGGGGAAGUUAAAUAUGAGCCACUGGGUGUACCAGUGCAUUAAUUUGGGCAAGGAAAGUGUCAUAAUUUGAUACUGUAUCUGUUUUCCUUCAAAGUAUAGAGCUUUUGGGGAAGGAAAGUAUUGAACUGGGGGUUGGUCUGGCCUACUGGGCUGACAUUAACUACAAUUAUGGGAAAUGCAAAAGUUGUUUGGAUAUGGUAGUGUGUGGUUCUCUUUUGGAAUUUUUUUCAGGUGAUUUAAUAAUAAUUUAAAACUACUAUAGAAACUGCAGAGCAAAGGAAGUGGCUUAAUGAUCCUGAAGGGAUUUCUUCUGAUGGUAGCUUUUGUAUUAUCAAACUUUUUUCAGAUAACAUCUUCUGAGUCAUAACCAGCCUGGCAGUAUGAUGGCCUAGAUGCAGAGAAAACAGCUCCUUGGUGAAUUGAUAAGUAAAGGCAGAAAAGAUUAUAUGUCAUACCUCCAUUGGGGAAUAAGCAUAACCCUGAGAUUCUUACUACUGAUGAGAACAUUAUCUGCAUAUGCCAAAAAAUUUUAAGCAAAUGAAAGCUACCAAUUUAAAGUUACGGAAUCUACCAUUUUAAAGUUAAUUGCUUGUCAAGCUAUAACCACAAAAAUAAUGAAUUGAUGAGAAAUACAAUGAAGAGGCAAUGUCCAUCUCAAAAUACUGCUUUUACAAAAGCAGAAUAAAAGCGAAAAGAAAUGAAAAUGUUACACUACAUUAAUCCUGGAAUAAAAGAAGCCGAAAUAAAUGAGAGAUGAGUUGGGAUCAAGUGGAUUGAGGAGGCUGUGCUGUGUGCCAAUGUUUCGUUUGCCUCAGACAGGUAUCUCUUCGUUAUCAGAAGAGUUGCUUCAUUUCAUCUGGGAGCAGAAAACAGCAGGCAGCUGUUAACAGAUAAGUUUAACUUGCAUCUGCAGUAUUGCAUGUUAGGGAUAAGUGCUUAUUUUUAAGAGCUGUGGAGUUCUUAAAUAUCAACCAUGGCACUUUCUCCUGACCCCUUCCCUAGGGGAUUUCAGGAUUGAGAAAUUUUUCCAUCGAGCCUUUUUAAAAUUGUAGGACUUGUUCCUGUGGGCUUCAGUGAUGGGAUAGUACACUUCACUCAGAGGCAUUUGCAUCUUUAAAUAAUUUCUUAAAAGCCUCUAAAGUGAUCAGUGCCUUGAUGCCAACUAAGGAAAUUUGUUUAGCAUUGAAUCUCUGAAGGCUCUAUGAAAGGAAUAGCAUGAUGUGCUGUUAGAAUCAGAUGUUACUGCUAAAAUUUACAUGUUGUGAUGUAAAUUGUGUAGAAAA